UACGAAGGGGGCUAGCGUUGCUCGGAAUCACUGGGCGUAAAGGGUGCGUAGGCGGGUCUUUAAGUCAGGGGUGAAAUCCUGGAGCUCAACUCCAGAACUGCCUUCGAUACUGGAGAGCUCGAGUCCGGGAGAGGUGAGUGGAACUGCGAGUGUAGAGGUGAAAUUCGUAGAUAUUCGCAAGAACACCAGUGGCGAAGGCGGCUCACUGGCCCGAUACUGACGCUGAGGCACGAAAGCGUGGGGAGCAAACAGG
Molecule: ribosomal RNA, 253 nt
Filed under: uncultured bacterium
Lineage: Bacteria
Description: partial 16S ribosomal RNA
Rfam family: Bacterial small subunit ribosomal RNA
Source: RNAcentral